Molecule: unclassified non-coding RNA, 150 nt
Filed under: soil metagenome
Description: partial internal transcribed spacer 1
Source: RNAcentral
GCGAGUAUGGCCCUCACGGGUCUAAUCCACCAUAAACACCUUUGUGAACCAGUCAGGGGGACUCGGCCGUGAAGCCCAGGCGAUUAGCGGAAGGGCCCUCCUUUGCAAACCCGUUUAGAAGUCUUGAAAGUACUUUUGUAUAAUCUAGUA